Puntigrus tetrazona (Sumatra barb) is the source of this 1301-nucleotide long non-coding RNA. RefSeq lists it as uncharacterized. The record is from RefSeq and is a predicted model, not a curated record. NCBI's taxonomy places the organism in Eukaryota, Metazoa, Chordata, Actinopteri, Cypriniformes, Cyprinidae. The transcript has 3 exons.
UGGUCCAGUUCUGUAACCCUGUAUGAUCGAGGAGAGGCAUCUUCAAAGAACGGAGUGAAAGAAGAGCAACGGGGUGGAACAUUGGACAGGUUUGCAUGUCACUGGAUAUGGAGCAACUCAGGCCUGCAAACACACUUUACUCUUCCAGACUACAUCUUCAGCCGUUACACUGUGGGCGAUCAGCUGGAGAAAGGUGGAUUUGGUGUGUGUUCAUUCCCGAUCAUCCAAACCCCCUUCCAAAGGAGAUCCCCCUCACCCUCCUGGCGAACAAAGGUUCCAGAGUGCCAGAAAUAAUCAGUCUUCUGGACUGGUCGGACCACCCUGACCGCUUCGUCAUGAUCCUCUCCCUGUGAGUUCCUCAGGCGUCACGGUGGAAACCUUAGAGAAGAAACAACCCGACAGAUCAUGAGACAGGUGGCCAGCGCCGCAAACACGUGCCACCUCCUCCGUGACGUCAAACUGGAGAACCUUUGUUUCGGGUCGUCUCGUAGGUCAUAAGACUCCUAGUUGCAGCGAGAGGCGCUUCAUCCCUCCUCUCACCUUUGUGUCUUGCAAGCCUUGUGUAGCGUCUUGCACCUUGGCUUGAGGAGGCAGUAUUUGGAUGUGUACAUAUUGUAUAUAUGUACAUACUUCUUUUGGUUGCCCCUUUUUGUUUGUCCCAUCAUGGUCACUCCAUUCCUGAGUUUCCUGCCACAGCUGUCUCAAUAAUAGAGCUCUCUCAUUCUCUGCCAUUAAGUAAGCCGCAUCUACUAAAGAGGCUGCUCCACACCUGUCAUAGGGACCUCAGUUUUUCAGGUUCCUGUAAAGCAAGGCUGCCACAAUUGAAGUCACCCUGGUCUCCAGUCUCACAGAAAUCCCUAUACAAGCCCAGAGGUGUCUGUCACAGCCAGAUAUUCCAGUGAUCAUUUCUUCAGAGGUUCCUGACUAUGAUAAAGUCCAGCCAGAAACCAAAGCAUCUCAUCGUCUCCAAGCUUUCUUCAUCUGUCAUUGCCUCUUGGUCCUGUUACUCCUAUUGGAGCUGCCAAAUACAAUGGUCUCCAAGCUCCUUGCAACGUUAGCUCAGCCUCAGAACAAAUUAAUAUUUUUGACUGCAUCUGCGUAUGAUGUACACAACGCACAGAUCCCAGUCUCAUACAGGUCAGUAUUAGGGAAUUAGGGAAUUGAUUCAGAGAUGAGAAAACAGCAGCUGAUUGCAUAGCAAUAAAAAUCUCCAACAGUCUGUCACACUUAGUGUAACACAUACGUAAAAUUGAGCACGCAUCUCAUGAGAUACUAGGCUUAUCAGUUACUGUUUUGCUUCA